Molecule: long non-coding RNA, 317 nt
Filed under: Musa acuminata (dwarf banana)
Lineage: Eukaryota; Viridiplantae; Streptophyta; Magnoliopsida; Zingiberales; Musaceae
Description: long non-coding RNA (MACU_LNC005207)
Source: RNAcentral
CUGGGCUUUUGUGCUUUGGUGACUUAAAGACAACACAUACAAUUUCGUCAUCUGUAAUUGGGGCAUUGAGGAUUGAAAUAGCUUCCAAAUCAAGUUUUCUAGUCGGCUCCACAUGAAUGUUAUUAGGUUUCCCAGCUUGAUUGAGUAAGGAAUAAAAAAAUUGCUCUGUGUGUGCUUUAACCUCAUCUAAAUUCUCAAUAAGAUUAUCAUCUUUGUCUCUGCAUUUGCUGAUACGGUUAACAGCCCUUCGAGUAGCAAUUGAAGCAUAGAAAAAUUUAGUAUUGGAAUCCCCUAGUGUAAGCCAAUGUUGUUGAGAC